RNAcentral lists this long non-coding RNA (308 nucleotides) under Homo sapiens (human). RNAcentral describes it as "HSALNT0393176". Lineage: Eukaryota; Metazoa; Chordata; Mammalia; Primates; Hominidae. The record is from RNAcentral.
CCAAGGCCUUGGGAGCCCAGGCCUCAUACCCUUGUGCUCUGGAUGUGGGAUCUGGAUUCAAAAAAAGGGAUUUGGAACUGUGGGAUUCAAUGACUGGCUGUUGGAUUUUUGACUCCUAUGGGGUUUGUAAGUCCCAUCUGUGUUUUGUGCUUCUUUCUGGCAAAUUUCUUCCUUUUGGCUGGGAAUACUUACCCAAUGCCUGUACAAUCAUUGUACUUUGGAAGUAGUUAACUUGCUUUGUAUUUCAGAAGCUCAGGAGCAGAAGGGACUGCAUCUUUGUCUCAGAUGAGACUUUGGGCUUCAGACAU